This is a long non-coding RNA of Ixodes scapularis (black-legged tick), 323 nucleotides long. RefSeq lists it as uncharacterized. The transcript is spliced from 4 exons. NCBI's taxonomy places the organism in Eukaryota, Metazoa, Arthropoda, Arachnida, Ixodida, Ixodidae. The record is from RefSeq and is a predicted model, not a curated record.
GCUCCAGGCACUUCAAACCCUCUGCAUUUCUUUACCGAGGAAGGCUGCGUCGUGAUGCAAUACCAGCAUAUUUGACCACUGAGGGUGCCGGAGAUGCCGUCCAGAGCAGCAGCCCUGGCCAAUUGACUAGCGAGGGCGAGCCCACACUGGCCAGCAGCAGUAGCACCGAUGGGCCCACAUCAUCACGGUGUCACACGCACCACACAACAGAAGAAGAUGUGGGGAGCAGUCUCACGGCUCUGACCUCUGGCACGAAGACUAGCCCUCCAACCAGAGUUCAUGUGGAUCACACAUACGCGAUGCAAGGCGCGAUGGAUGGACAU